GACGAACGCUGGCGGCGUGCCUAAUACAUGCAAGUAGAACGCUGAAGGAGGAGCUUGCUUCUCUGGAUGAGUUGCGAACGGGUGAGUAACGCGUAGGUAACCUGCCUGGUAGCGGGGGAUAACUAUUGGAAACGAUAGCUAAUACCGCAUAAGAGUAGAUGUUGCAUGACAUUUGCUUAAAAGGUGCAAUUGCAUCACUACCAGAUGGACCUGCGUUGUAUUAGCUAGUUGGUGGGGUAACGGCUCACCAAGGCGACGAUACAUAGCCGACCUGAGAGGGUGAUCGGCCACACUGGGACUGAGACACGGCCCAGACUCCUACGGGAGGCAGCAGUAGGGAAUCUUCGGCAAUAGACGGAAGUCUGACCGAGCAACGCCGCGUGAGUGAAGAAGGUUUUCGGAUCGUAAAGCUCUGUUGUAAGAGAAGAACGAGUGUGAGAGUGGAAAGUUCACACUGUGACGGUAUCUUACCAGGAAGGGACGGCUAACUACGUG
RNAcentral lists this ribosomal RNA (495 nucleotides) under uncultured bacterium. Its description in RNAcentral is "partial 16S ribosomal RNA". It matches the Rfam family "Bacterial small subunit ribosomal RNA", at positions 28 to 507 of the family's 1533-position model. The record is from RNAcentral.